Long non-coding RNA from Cebus imitator (Panamanian white-faced capuchin), 455 nucleotides. RefSeq lists it as uncharacterized. Lineage: Eukaryota; Metazoa; Chordata; Mammalia; Primates; Cebidae. The record is from RefSeq and is a predicted model, not a curated record. The transcript is spliced from 4 exons.
AGGGCUGGGCACCCGCAGAGCCAGGGAGGCUUCAGAAAGAUGAUGCAGUCUCACCUGCAGCCUACAAUGGAAAGAUCUGGAUGCCCUCCCCAAGGUUUUCUAAAUGAUAGAUAUCAUGUAAUCAGCCCAGAGGACGAGCUCUGUCAGCCUUACUUGUGGACAUGUUUACGUAAGCUGCUUCUGACUCAAAUGUAAGCUACCGGGUUCAUAAAAGGGUGCCAGGAUAUGCCACCCCAACAUAGGUCACUUUGGCAUAACAAUUACUUCAUGCUAAAGGCACUUGCAAAACUGCAGAUACAAGAAGGGCAUUCCAGUGCACGCCUGUGGUCACAGCUGUGGGAGAGGCUGAGGCACGAGGAUCACUUGAGCCCAGGAGUUCGAGAUUACAGUGGACAAUGAUCAGGUCAUGCACUCCAAAGCCUUGGCAAGAGUGUGAGAUCCUGUCUCUAAAAAAA